RNAcentral lists this ribosomal RNA (253 nucleotides) under uncultured bacterium. RNAcentral describes it as "partial 16S ribosomal RNA". It matches the Rfam family "Bacterial small subunit ribosomal RNA", at positions 524 to 776 of the family's 1533-position model. The record is from RNAcentral.
UACGUAGGGUGCAAGCGUUGUCCGGAAUUAUUGGGCGUAAAGAGCUCGUAGGCGGCCUGUCGCGUCGGCUGUGAAAACUCGGGGCUCAACUCCGAGCUUGCAGUCGAUACGGGCAGGCUAGAGUUCGGCAGGGGAGACUGGAAUUCCUGGUGUAGCGGUGAAAUGCGCAGAUAUCAGGAGGAACACCGGUGGCGAAGGCGGGUCUCUGGGCCGAUACUGACACUGAGGAGCGAAAGCGUGGGGAGCGAACAGG